RNAcentral lists this transfer RNA (76 nucleotides) under Bacillota bacterium. RNAcentral describes it as "tRNA-Thr". It matches the Rfam family "tRNA". From Rfam's summary of the family: Transfer RNA (tRNA) molecules are approximately 80 nucleotides in length. Their secondary structure includes four short double-helical elements and three loops (D, anti-codon, and T loops). Lineage: Bacteria; Bacillati; Bacillota. The record is from RNAcentral.
GCCGGGAUAGCUCAGCUGGCAGAGCAGCGCACUUGUAAUGCGCAGGUCGUGGGUUCGAAUCCCAUCCCCGGCUCCA